RNAcentral lists this ribosomal RNA (253 nucleotides) under uncultured bacterium. RNAcentral describes it as "partial 16S ribosomal RNA". It matches the Rfam family "Bacterial small subunit ribosomal RNA", at positions 524 to 776 of the family's 1533-position model. The record is from RNAcentral.
UACGUAGGGUGCAAGCGUUAAUCGGAAUUACUGGGCGUAAAGCGUGCGCAGGCGGUUGUGCAAGACAGAUGUGAAAGCCCCGGGCUCAACCUGGGAAUUGCAUUUGAGACUGCUCUGCUCGGGUGCGGAAGAGGGAAGCGGAAUUUCCGGUGUAGCGGUGAAAUGCGUAGAUAUCGGAAGGAACACCAGUGGCGAAAGCGGCUUCCUGGUCCGACACCGACGUUCAGGCACGAAAGCGUGGGGAGCAAACAGG